GCGCGCUUAGCUCAGCAGGCCAGAGCACCCGGCUCUUAACCGGAGGGUCCGAGGUUCGAUUCCUCGAGCGCGCACCA
RNAcentral lists this transfer RNA (77 nucleotides) under Ottowia oryzae. Its description in RNAcentral is "tRNA-Lys". It matches the Rfam family "tRNA". Rfam says of the family: Transfer RNA (tRNA) molecules are approximately 80 nucleotides in length. Their secondary structure includes four short double-helical elements and three loops (D, anti-codon, and T loops). The record is from RNAcentral. Lineage: Bacteria; Pseudomonadati; Pseudomonadota; Betaproteobacteria; Burkholderiales; Comamonadaceae.